This 467-nucleotide ribosomal RNA is filed under the name Meridolum duralensis. RNAcentral describes it as "partial 12S ribosomal RNA". Lineage: Eukaryota; Metazoa; Mollusca; Gastropoda; Stylommatophora; Camaenidae. The record is from RNAcentral.
UUUAGAGAGACACGUAGCAGGUAAACACGCCAGCAGCAUUAUGAGUGGUGAAAUACAGAAAUAAAUACCUCUACCUGUGUGUUAAAGAGCUAAAACACUGCUGCUAAACAGGGAUUAGAGACCCCUUUAUACAAGUGCUUAAUUACACUGCGGAGUACUAAAACUUUUUGGGUUAAAACUUAAACAACAUGGCGGUAACUUUAACUUAGGGGAACUUACCCUGUAAAUGAUAACCACCAAGGUCAAACAACUACUAUAAACUCUUGUAUGCCGUCGUCGUCAGGUGGCACUUAAUGUUCUACCUAGAUAUAACUUAAAAAGACAGAUCAAGGUGCAGACAAUUUAGUAGUAGUGGCGAGUUACAGUUUAAAUUAUUAACGGAUGAACUGUGUAAUUGUAUACUGAAGGGGGACUUAACAGUAAUAAAGACUACCAAUAGCUUAUGAACUAUAUAAGGUUGUGUACAA